This 501-nucleotide ribosomal RNA is filed under the name uncultured bacterium. Its description in RNAcentral is "partial 16S ribosomal RNA". It matches the Rfam family "Bacterial small subunit ribosomal RNA", at positions 30 to 523 of the family's 1533-position model. The record is from RNAcentral.
AUUGAACGCUGGCGGCAGGCUUAACACAUGCAAGUCGAGCGGGGGAAGGUAGCUUGCUACCGGACCUAGCGGCGGACGGGUGAGUAAUGCUUAGGAAUCUGCCUAUUAGUGGGGGACAACAUCUCGAAAGGGAUGCUAAUACCGCAUACGUCCUACGGGAGAAAGCAGGGGAUCUUCGGACCUUGCGCUAAUAGAUGAGCCUAAAUCGGAUUAGCUAGUUGGUGGGGUAAAGGCCUACCAAGGCGACGAUCUGUAGCGGGUCUGAGAGGAUGAUCCGCCACACUGGGAUAGAGACACGGCCCAGACUCCUACGGGAGGCAGCAGUGGGGAAUAUUGGACAAUGGGGGGAACCCUGAUCCAGCCAUGCCGCGUGUGUGAAGAAGGCCUUAUGGUUGUAAAGCACUUUAAGCGAGGAGGAGGCUCUUUUGGUUAAUACCCAAGAUGAGUGGACGUUACUCGCAGAAUAAGCACCGGCUAACUCUGUGCCAGCCGCCGCGGUAA